AUGGCUUCUCGACCUUUUGGCUAAGAUCCAGUGUAGUAUCUGUUCUUAUCGGUUUAAUAUCUGAUACAUCCUCCAUCCAAGGACAAUAUAUUAAAUAGAUUUUGGAGCAGAGAGAUGGAAUAGAAGCUUGCUCCAUCCACUCCAUGCAUCGACCUGGUAUUGCAGUACCUCCAGGAACAGUGCACCCCCU
Molecule: small nuclear RNA, 190 nt
Organism: Cercocebus atys (sooty mangabey)
Lineage: Eukaryota; Metazoa; Chordata; Mammalia; Primates; Cercopithecidae
Gene: U2
Rfam family: U2 spliceosomal RNA
About the family: U2 is a small nuclear RNA (snRNA) component of the spliceosome (involved in pre-mRNA splicing). Complementary binding between U2 snRNA (in an area lying towards the 5' end but 3' to hairpin I) and the branchpoint sequence (BPS) of the intron results the bulging out of an unpaired adenosine, on the BPS, which initiates a nucleophilic attack at the intronic 5' splice site, thus starting the first of two transesterification reactions that mediate splicing.
Source: Ensembl